UACCAGCUCUCCGAGUGGUGUGGAUGUUUAUUGGGCCUAAAGCAUCCGUAGCUGGCUGGGCAAGUCCCCUGUUAAAUCCACCGAUUCAAUCGUUGGAGUGCGGGGGAUACUGCUCGGCUAGGGGGACGGGAGAGGCCGACGGUAUUUUCGGGGUAGGGGUGAAAUCCUAUAAUCCCGGAAAGACCACCAGUGGCGAAGGCUGUCGGCUAGAACGCGCCCGACGGUGAGGGAUGAAAGCUGGGGGAGCGAACCGGAUUAGAUACCCUGGUAGUCCCAGCUGUAAACGAUGCAGGCUAGGUGUUUGGGCGGCCACGUGCCGCUCUAGUGCCGCAGGGAAGUCGUUAAGCCUGCCGCCUGGGGAGUACGGCCGCAAGGCUGAAACUUAAAGGAAUUGGCGGGGAGCACCACAAGGGGUGAAGCUUGCGGUUU
This 429-nucleotide ribosomal RNA is filed under the name uncultured archaeon. Its description in RNAcentral is "bacterial SSU rRNA". It matches the Rfam family "Archaeal small subunit ribosomal RNA", at positions 474 to 903 of the family's 1478-position model. The record is from RNAcentral.